RNAcentral lists this long non-coding RNA (1243 nucleotides) under Marmota monax (woodchuck). The record is from RNAcentral. Lineage: Eukaryota; Metazoa; Chordata; Mammalia; Rodentia; Sciuridae.
CUUAUCUCUUGUUACAUUCAGAGUGUGCUACCUGUGCCUGAAGGGCAGCGAGCCGGGCACCUCCUCUCUUGGACUCUCGUGAAGCAGCUAACAUGGGGCUGCUCAUCCAGUGGCCACUCGCUUGACAUCUGCAGAACUGAAAUGAUUCAUAUGACGGGGCUCGUGGCCAGCAGGCAUCAGAGGCACAAUGGAUAGACCUUUUCAACCUGGGAAAGUAUUGGAAAACAUCUCUACAAUUGUUGGCUUUGAGAACUAUUACUGCAACAGGAGCAAAGCACCAACAGCCAAAGGAACACCAUCCAGACAGUGGAGGGCUGGUUAAGCUCUUUGGUGACAGAGAAAUCUGGAUUUGAAUCCUUCCUCUGCCACCUUAUAGCCACGUGACCUAAGGCAAGUUAGACUUUCUCUGCCUCAGUUUCUCUCAUCUAUAAAACAGGUAUAACAGUACUUAUUAUAAAGAAUAAAGGGGAUGAGUGCAUCUAUGAUCUUAGCAAACUGCCCAGGUUAAACAAUAUAGGGUUACUAAGGAUAAUAACAAUCAUUAAUGUCAACAAGAUUACCUGCCAUGAGGCUUACAAGUGAUAUAUAGUUCAAGGUCAGGAAUUGUGUUGGACAAGGCUGUUAGAAAACAGUUGGAAACUCAGUGUAAAAAGACAAAGAAAAUUAUAAAUAAGCAAUCCUCAAAUUGAUCCUAUUAUGAAUGAUCUACCUACCCACUUAGUGCUACUGGGACCUCACAUCUGCACAGCACUUCCUAGCAGGACUAGUCAGACUUUGGGGGCAUGGAGACUGGCGAAAAUAUAAAAGAAUGAGGCAGUUCCACUCUGGCUGUGGUGUGGUAGAGGGACAUGGCUUUGAAAGUGUUAUGGUUUGGAUAUGAAGUGUCCCCAGAAAAGCUUGUGUUGAAAGCGUGAUAAACAAUGAAGCAAGGUUGAGAGGUGGGACUUUAGGGAAAAAACUGAAAGAUGAGAGCUGUCAUCUCAUCAGUGGAUUUAUCCACUUGAUGGAUCAGUAUUUUGAAUGAACUACUGAACUGUAGCAGGCGGAGCACUGGCCAGGGGAAUUCAUGCUCUGGGGGUGCAGCCUUGGAUGGUAUCAGCCUCUGGCCUCGUCCUCUCUUUGCUUUCCAACAGCCCUGAGCUGAGCGGCUUUUCUCUACCAUGUUCUGCUGUGAUGUUCUGCCUCACCUCAGGCCUAGAGUAAUGGAGCUGACUGACUGUGGACUGAGACCUCUGAAACCGUG